UACGAAGGGGGCUAGCGUUGCUCGGAAUUACUGGGCGUAAAGGGCGCGUAGGCGGCCGAUCAAGUCAGGCGUGAAAUUCCCGGGCUCAACCUGGGGGCUGCGCUUGAGACUGGUUGGCUAGAGGCCGAGAGAGGGUGGUGGAAUUCCCAGUGUAGAGGUGAAAUUCGUAGAUAUUGGGAAGAACACCGGUGGCGAAGGCGGCGACCUGGUCCUUGACUGACGCUGAGGCGCGAAAGCGUGGGGAGCAAACAGG
RNAcentral lists this ribosomal RNA (253 nucleotides) under uncultured bacterium. RNAcentral describes it as "partial 16S ribosomal RNA". It matches the Rfam family "Bacterial small subunit ribosomal RNA", at positions 524 to 776 of the family's 1533-position model. The record is from RNAcentral.